AGAAUUUAAGUUAAAAAAACUAUUGACCUUCAAAGUCAAAUUUAGAAAUAUAUCUAAUUCUUAA
RNAcentral lists this transfer RNA (64 nucleotides) under Entiminae sp. ACP-2013. RNAcentral describes it as "tRNA-Trp". Lineage: Eukaryota; Metazoa; Arthropoda; Insecta; Coleoptera; Curculionidae. The record is from RNAcentral.